UUGGCGAGCAGCGGGGAGCCCGGUACCGGCCUCGCGUGGGAGUCGCGUCUGUUCUCUCUCUGCCUAGGAACCGCCCUGCCCCCGCGGUGCAGCCCCUCAGGCGGGUUCUUCCUUCAGCGUGCUGUAAAUCCGUAAAACGCUGCAGCCCUUUCCCCGGACGUCUCCUGACCUGUAGUAGUAGCACCGCUGCCUGCCCCAGCAAGACAAGCCACGGGUUUUCUCCCGUUCACCGCUGAAGGACCUAUCUGCAAGGACUCUUGUGAUUUGAAUGAGGAGGAAUGUAUGUAGCAACAACUACUGAGUAUCCACUGUGGGCCCAGCUGCUCGCCUGCUCACCUGUCAUGUCAUUGGGUGUCAAUGGGAUUCAAGUUGCCAACUGUUGAAUUCACAUCCAAGUGAAAGGAGAGAUGAAGUGAGCAGACGAAGCCUUCUUAAAUACAGCUGCUUACAUAUUUCCCGGACUGAGCUCCAGGGUAGCAGUCUGUCGCAUGAACUGGUCUGUUGUAUUACGUUCCCCCAGCAGAGACUGUAAUGUAUGAGGAAAGUUCCGCUGAGUCCUUUGGAGACUUGACUCCCUCUAUCUCCUUUCCCGUUUCUCUCCACCUUACUCGUCUCACCUUCAUGAGCACCUUAUGUCAUGGUAACGAUCCCUGCGGGGAAGGCGAGUUGGACUCUGCUCCCUCUGGGGCCACCGGAGCUAUUGGAAAAGCUUGCUGCCAGCUGCGAGUCGCUCCUUCAGCCCUCGAGGCACGUUACCUAGAAAAUCUGAGAAUGGAUUGA
Molecule: long non-coding RNA, 780 nt
Filed under: Struthio camelus australis
Lineage: Eukaryota; Metazoa; Chordata; Aves; Struthioniformes; Struthionidae
Description: lncRNA (ENSSCUG00000015899.1)
Source: RNAcentral